This 253-nucleotide ribosomal RNA is filed under the name uncultured bacterium. RNAcentral's name for it is "partial 16S ribosomal RNA". It matches the Rfam family "Bacterial small subunit ribosomal RNA", at positions 524 to 776 of the family's 1533-position model. The record is from RNAcentral.
UACGAAGGGGGCUAGCGUGGCUCGGAAUCACUGGGCGUAAAGGGUGCGUAGGCGGGUUUUUAAGUCAGAGGUGAAAUCCUGGAGCUCAACUCCAGAACUGCCUUUGAUACUGAAAGUCUUGAGUAUGGGAGAGGUGAGUGGAACUGCGAGUGUAGAGGUGAAAUUCGUAGAUAUUCGCAAGAACACCAGUGGCGAAGGCGGCUCACUGGCCCGAUACUGACGCUGAGGCACGAAAGCGUGGGGAGCAAACAGG